CCCCUAGAUGUUCUGGGCCGCACGCGCGCUACACUGAACAGUUCAACAAGUCUUAACCUUGGCCGAUAGGUCUGGGUAAUCUUUGAACGCUGUUCGUGAUUGGGAUAGACCUUUGCAAUUAUGGGUCUUCAACGAGGAAUUCCUAGUAAACGCAAGUCAUCAGCUUGCAUUGAUUACGUCCCUGCCCUUUGUACACACCGCCCGUCGCACCUACCGAUUGAAUGGUCCGGUGAAAUCUCAGGACGGCGGCUUGGUCGCUUGCGUCCGACUGCUGAAACUUGAUUAAACCAUAUCAUUUAGAGGAAGGUGAAGUCGUAACA
RNAcentral lists this ribosomal RNA (320 nucleotides) under uncultured eukaryote. RNAcentral's name for it is "partial 18S ribosomal RNA". It matches the Rfam family "Eukaryotic small subunit ribosomal RNA", at positions 1470 to 1796 of the family's 1831-position model. The record is from RNAcentral.